Molecule: long non-coding RNA, 184 nt
Organism: Sinocyclocheilus anshuiensis
Lineage: Eukaryota; Metazoa; Chordata; Actinopteri; Cypriniformes; Cyprinidae
Exons: 3
Source: RefSeq, a predicted model, not a curated record
GUGUAGCCGGCGCACCAGCCGUGGUCUUGUGGGCCUGUGACAAGAUAUUCACAGAUGGCUACAGGUGAAAGACGCCUGGUUUCUGUGUCUGCAUCCAGACUUUCUAUGACCAGCAUUCUGUAGUUGAGCCCAAAACACUUGUAGCUCUGCCAGGUGCUCAUUGAAGCUACCACUGAAUCUGUAC